RNAcentral lists this non-coding RNA (30 nucleotides) under Gallus gallus (chicken). The record is from RNAcentral. RNAcentral also lists the same sequence under 3 other names. Lineage: Eukaryota; Metazoa; Chordata; Aves; Galliformes; Phasianidae.
UCGGCGCUCUCACCGCCGCGGCCCGGGUUC